This 1358-nucleotide ribosomal RNA is filed under the name uncultured bacterium. RNAcentral describes it as "bacterial SSU rRNA". It matches the Rfam family "Bacterial small subunit ribosomal RNA", at positions 31 to 1381 of the family's 1533-position model. The record is from RNAcentral.
GAACGCUGGCGGCAGGCCUAACACAUGCAAGUCGAGCGGUAACACAGGGAGCUUGCUCCUGGGUGACGAGCGGCGGACGGGUGAGUAAUGUCUGGGAAACUGCCCGAUGGAGGGGGAUAACUACUGGAAACGGUAGCUAAUACCGCAUAACGUCGCAAGACCAAAGAGGGGGACCUUCGGGCCUCUUGCCAUCGGAUGUGCCCAGAUGGGAUUAGCUAGUAGGUGGGGUAACGGCUCACCUAGGCGACGAUCCCUAGCUGGUCUGAGAGGAUGACCAGCCACACUGGAACUGAGACACGGUCCAGACUCCUACGGGAGGCAGCAGUGGGGAAUAUUGCACAAUGGGCGCAAGCCUGAUGCAGCCAUGCCGCGUGUAUGAAGAAGGCCUUCGGGUUGUAAAGUACUUUCAGCGAGGAGGAAGGCAUUGUGGUUAAUAACCACAGUGAUUGACGUUACUCGCAGAAGAAGCACCGGCUAACUCCGUGCCAGCAACCGCGGUAAUACGGAGGGUGCAAGCGUUAAUCGGAAUUACUGGGCGUAAAGCGCACGCAGGCGGUCUGUCAAGUCGGAUGUGAAAUCCCCGGGCUCAACCUGGGAACUGCAUUCGAAACUGGCAGGCUAGAGUCUUGUAGAGGGGGGUAGAAUUCCAGGUGUAGCGGUGAAAUGCGUAGAGAUCUGGAGGAAUACCGGUGGCGAAGGCGGCCCCCUGGACAAAGACUGACGCUCAGGUGCGAAAGCGUGGGGAGCAAACAGGAUUAGAUACCCUGGUAGUCCACGCCGUAAACGAUGUCGACUUGGAGGUUGUGCCCUUGAGGCGUGGCUUCCGGAGCUAACGCGUUAAGUCGACCGCCUGGGGAGUACGGCCGCAAGGUUAAAACUCAAAUGAAUUGACGGGGGCCCGCACAAGCGGUGGAGCAUGUGGUUUAAUUCGAUGCAACGCGAAGAACCUUACCUACUCUUGACAUCCACGGAAUUUGCUAGAGAUAGCUUAGUGCCUUCGGGAACCGUGAGACAGGUGCUGCAUGGCUGUCGUCAGCUCGUGUUGUGAAAUGUUGGGUUAAGUCCCGCAACGAGCGCAACCCUUAUCCUUUGUUGCCAGCGGUUCGGCCGGGAACUCAAAGGAGACUGCCAGUGAUAAACUGGAGGAAGGUGGGGAUGACGUCAAGUCAUCAUGGCCCUUACGAGUAGGGCUACACACGUGCUACAAUGGCAUAUACAAAGAGAAGCGACCUCGCGAGAGCAAGCGGACCUCAUAAAGUAUGUCGUAGUCCGGAUUGGAGUCUGCAACUCGACUCCAUGAAGUCGGAAUCGCUAGUAAUCGUAGAUCAGAAUGCUACGGUGAAUACGUUCCCGGGCCU